AGAUUGAACGCUGGCGGCGUGCUUAACACAUGCAAGUCGAGCGGUAACGCGGGAGCAAUCCUGGCGACGAGCGGCGAACGGGUGAGUAAUGCUUGGGAAUCUGCCCAUUAGUGGGGAACAACCAGCCGAAAGGUUGGCUAAUACCGCAUACGCCCUACGGGGGAAAGCGGGGGAUCGAAAGACCUCGCGCUAAUGGAUGAGCCCAAGUCGGAUUAGCUUGUUGGUAGGGUAACGGCCUACCAAGGCGACAAUCCGUAGCUGGUCUGAGAGGACGACCAGCCACACUGGGGACUGAGACACGGCCCAGACUCCUACGGGAGGCAGCAGUGGGGGAAUAUUGGACAAUGGGGGGCAACCCUGAUCCAGCGACGCCGCGUGUGUGAAGAAGGCCUGCGGGUUGUAAAGCACUUUUAGUGGGGAUGAAAAGCUCAGGGUUAACACCUCUGGGUCUUGACCUAACCCACAGAAAAAGCACCGGCUAACUCUGUGCCAGCAGCCGCGGU
Molecule: ribosomal RNA, 503 nt
Filed under: uncultured bacterium
Lineage: Bacteria
Description: SSU rRNA
Rfam family: Bacterial small subunit ribosomal RNA
Source: RNAcentral